This 292-nucleotide ribosomal RNA is filed under the name uncultured bacterium. RNAcentral describes it as "partial 16S ribosomal RNA". It matches the Rfam family "Bacterial small subunit ribosomal RNA", at positions 505 to 796 of the family's 1533-position model. The record is from RNAcentral.
GUGUCAGCCGCCGCGGUAAGACGUAGGGAGCGAGCGUUGUCCGGAUUCAUUGGGCGUAAAGCGCGCGUAGGCGGCCUCGCAAGUCGGUUGUGAAAUCCCGGGGCUCAACCCCGGGACUGCGUCCGAUACUGCGAGGCUGGAGGUAGGUAGGGGAGAUCGGAAUUCCUGGUGUAGCGGUGAAAUGCGCAGAUAUCAGGAGGAACACCGGUGGCGAAGGCGGAUCUCUGGGCCUUACCUGACGCUGAGGCGCGAAAGCUAGGGGAGCGAACAGGAUUAGAUACCCUCGUAGUCC